Molecule: long non-coding RNA, 983 nt
Filed under: Amborella trichopoda
Lineage: Eukaryota; Viridiplantae; Streptophyta; Magnoliopsida; Amborellales; Amborellaceae
Description: long non-coding RNA (ATRI_LNC001996)
Source: RNAcentral
GCGGCUGACGAACGAGGUGCAAUGAGACCGGCCAAUGGUGUGGCCGCCAGAGAGAGUGACCAUCUCCUCCAAGGUGAGAUUCUUUAUAGCGAAAUUGUCGACGAGUUGAGUGACAUUGAAAGAUGGAGGGGGGAGGUUUGAGAAGGUUUCAUUUGCGAUCGAUACAUUGCCAUCACGCCUGCCUGCAGGGAGAGUGUAGUUGAGGCCGCCUGUGAGCGAGGUGCUGUCCCUUGCAGCAAAGGCUAGGACGUCGGCGCAUGAUACUGUGUUGGGGCACACGGUCUCGAUGGCAGCCUUGGCCUCGUCGAUCACUUCAAAACCACGAAGACUCGGGUUGUUCACAGGUGAAUCCUUCUCGGCUUGGUUAUCCGCGGUCGAGUCUAGCAGCACGGACCCGUCGCACCCCUAUAAAAAAUUCAUCUAAAUCAUUAAUAAUAACUUCUAGAAAUUGAAUCUCCUCAAACUUCAAGGAAGUUUCCUUUUGAGUUUGAGAGGAGAAAUAACACAUGCCAGCCGUCCAAUUUUACAUCAGAUGGCUUAGGAGGUUUGGGACCUUUUAAUGUGGAAAAUUCUAGUUUCAUUGUACACAAUACGGUUUCAUCUUGUUUUGGGGGAGCAUUCAGGAACAUCUUAUCGAUGAGUUCUUACUGUCCAAUUAAUGGUUUGGCCAGGGAUGGAGGGCAAGGGCAAGGGCACCUUAACCAUAAGCCAGUUGGACUUGGUACUUUACCGAGACCGAAUGGCUCAGGGGAGUCCGACCCAACAAAUUACAGGUCGAAAGCAAGAAGCAAUACAAAUGCCGUUGCUCUAACAGACAUCUAGCACAAAAACUGUUGCUUGUUCGAGUCGAAAAUCUCUUAGCAAUUGAUCGAAAUAAAUUUGCUACUAACACUUACUCUCACAAAGCAGUCGUGGAAAUACAUCCUUAUCAAUCCAGCAGCAAUGCCAGGAUUUGCAGUUACAGCCGUAGACACAGCAUCGAA